Molecule: long non-coding RNA, 658 nt
Organism: Cynoglossus semilaevis (tongue sole)
Lineage: Eukaryota; Metazoa; Chordata; Actinopteri; Pleuronectiformes; Cynoglossidae
Exons: 3
Source: RefSeq, a predicted model, not a curated record
UUCGGUUCAGUGAGACAAACAAAAGACGAUGCGUGGAAAGUGAAAUGUGAUUAUGUUUUUGAUCAUGUAUUAUUAUUAUUAUAUAUAUUACACCUAAUUGCAGGAGCUACGGUUUUUUGAGCUAAAAUUGUUCAUGAUUAUUGCCAAAUAGAUUGACUCUAUGUUGUUGUGAAUAAAUGUGCCUUUCUGCUUCACUUUGCCUGUACCACACAAGUGUUAUGACUCUACUGUAAAAAGUAACUUGUAAUUUCCACGUGUAUUUGUAAUGUAGAGAUUUAAAAAAAAAUAGAAUUAGAAUUAUUAAUAAAUAUGGGUUUUUUUGUCGAAAAGUGGGCUGAAUAAGAACAUACAAUUGACUUGUGGAAGAAAAAAAAACAGUCUGCCGCUGUACUUCCUAUCUCUGACCGCUAGGUGCAGCAGCGGUUUAAACAGAGCACCACAAUGGAAGAAGAGAAGUAAACAGUAAAUGGGAGUUUCUCUCGGCCUUUAACCUUUUAUCGUUCUACUUCUCGCUGUUUUAUUUUAUUUCCUCGUUAAUCCACUGGUUUUAGCCAGUAUUUGUGGAUCCAGUUCGGAGGGAAUGACGAACGCCCAGUUAUUACAACAGAUGGCGCUUUUGCGCUGGCUGUCCUCACAGAGCGACGAGGACCGCGGGUUG